Non-coding RNA from Triticum aestivum (bread wheat), 76 nucleotides. NCBI's taxonomy places the organism in Eukaryota, Viridiplantae, Streptophyta, Magnoliopsida, Poales, Poaceae. The record is from Rfam.
UUCUGCGUGAUGAAGAAAAUCAUUCGGAUUCCCACUAAUACUUCAUGAUUAUCAGAACCAGCUACUUCUGACAAAC